CCCGACUGCUAUCGGGGUGAGGCUAAGCCAUGGGAGUCGCGCGCCCCGCCGCCGCGGGGCGCGGCGUACGGCUGAGUAACACGUGGCUAACCUGCCCUCGGGACGGGGAUAACCCCGGGAAACUGGGGCUAAUCCCCGAUAGGCGAGGGGGCCUGGAAGGGUCCCUCGCCGAAAGGGACCUCAGGGGGUUAUCGCCUGGGGUCCGCCCGAGGAUGGGGCCACGGCCCAUCAUGGUAGUUGGCGGGGUAAUGGCCCACCAAGCCGACGACGGGUAGGGGCCGUGGGAGCGGGAGCCCCCAGAUGGGCCCUGAGACAAGGGCCCAGGCCCUACGGGGCGCACCAGGCGCGAAACCUCCGCAAUGCGGGAAACCGUGACGGGGUCACCCCGAGUGCCCCCGUAAGGGGGCUUUUCCCCGCUGCAAGGAGGCAGGGGAAUAAGCGGGGGGCAAGUCUGGUGUCAGCCGCCGCGGUAAUACCAGCCCCGCGAGUGGUCGGGACUCUUGCUGGGCCUAAAGCGCCCGUAGCCGGCCCGGUAAGUCCCUCCUUAAAGCCCCGGGCU
RNAcentral lists this ribosomal RNA (559 nucleotides) under uncultured archaeon. RNAcentral's name for it is "bacterial SSU rRNA". It matches the Rfam family "Archaeal small subunit ribosomal RNA", at positions 21 to 559 of the family's 1478-position model. The record is from RNAcentral.